GUGCUCGCUUUGGCAGCACAUAUACUAAAAUUGGAACAAUACAGAGAAGAUUAGCUUUUCGAAUUAUAUUAUAAAAAAAGAAAAGAAAAAAAUAAAU
Small nuclear RNA from Callithrix jacchus (white-tufted-ear marmoset), 97 nucleotides. The record is from Ensembl. Lineage: Eukaryota; Metazoa; Chordata; Mammalia; Primates; Cebidae.